This 450-nucleotide ribosomal RNA is filed under the name uncultured Desulfobulbus sp. Its description in RNAcentral is "bacterial SSU rRNA". It matches the Rfam family "Bacterial small subunit ribosomal RNA", at positions 938 to 1382 of the family's 1533-position model. The record is from RNAcentral. Lineage: Bacteria; Pseudomonadati; Thermodesulfobacteriota; Desulfobulbia; Desulfobulbales; Desulfobulbaceae.
UAUGUGGUUUAAUUCGAUGCAACGCGAAGAACCUUACCUGGUCUUGACAUCCCGGAGACCCUUAGGAAACUAGGGGGUGCUUCCAUCUGGAAGAAUCUGGAGACAGGUGCUGCAUGGCUGUCGUCAGCUCGUGUCGUGAGAUGUUGGGUUAAGUCCCGCAACGAGCGCAACCCUUGCCUUUAGUUGCCAGCAGUUCGGCUGGGCACUCUAAAGGGACUGCCGGUGUUAAACCGGAGGAAGGUGGGGAUGACGUCAAGUCCUCAUGGCCUUUAUGACCAGGGCUACACACGUACUACAAUGGCCGAUACAAAGGGCAGCGACACUGCGAGGUGAAGCCAAUCCCGUAAAAUCGGUCUCAGUCCGGAUUGGAGUCUGCAACUCGACUCCAUGAAGUUGGAAUCGCUAGUAAUCGUGGAUCAGCAUGCCACGGUGAAUACGUUCCCGGGCCUU